UGGGGAAUAUUGCACAAUGGGCGCAAGCCUGAUGCAGCCAUGCCGCGUGUAUGAAGAAGGCCUUCGGGUUGUAAAGUACUUUCAGCGGGGAGGAAGGUGUUGUGGUUAAUAACCUCAGCAAUUGACGUUACCCGCAGAAGAAGCACCGGCUAACUCCGUGCCAGCAGCCGCGGUAAUACGGAGGGUGCAAGCGUUAAUCGGAAUUACUGGGCGUAAAGCGCACGCAGGCGGUCUGUCAAGUCGGAUGUGAAAUCCCCGGGCUCAACCUGGGAACUGCAUCCGAAACUGGCAGGCUUGAGUCUUGUAGAGGGGGGUAGAAUUCCAGGUGUAGCGGUGAAAUGCGUAGAGAUCUGGAGGAAUACCGGUGGCGAAGGCGGCCC
RNAcentral lists this ribosomal RNA (380 nucleotides) under uncultured bacterium. RNAcentral describes it as "partial 16S ribosomal RNA". It matches the Rfam family "Bacterial small subunit ribosomal RNA", at positions 355 to 727 of the family's 1533-position model. The record is from RNAcentral.